UACGAAGGGGGGCUAGCGUUGCUCGGAAUCACUGGGCGUAAAGCGCACGUAGGCGGCUUUUUAAGUCAGAGGUGAAAUCCUGGAGCUCAACUCCAGAACUGCCUUUGAUACUGGAGAGCUUGAGUCCGGGAGAGGUGAGUGGAACUGCGAGUGUAGAGGUGAAAUUCGUAGAUAUUCGCAAGAACACCAGUGGCGAAGGCGGACUC
Molecule: ribosomal RNA, 206 nt
Filed under: uncultured bacterium
Lineage: Bacteria
Description: partial 16S ribosomal RNA
Rfam family: Bacterial small subunit ribosomal RNA
Source: RNAcentral